RNAcentral lists this long non-coding RNA (309 nucleotides) under Glycine max (soybean). RNAcentral describes it as "long non-coding RNA (GMAX_LNC004431)". Lineage: Eukaryota; Viridiplantae; Streptophyta; Magnoliopsida; Fabales; Fabaceae. The record is from RNAcentral.
AAAAGUUAGAGAGCAACUUGAAAUGUUGCUGAACUUGAACAAGCCAAAGAUUUAAUUCUUCUAUAGCUGUUUCUAGGAUAGGAGCAGUUUGCGAGCACUCCUGAACUUGGACAACCUGAGAAUCAACAACAAGACUCGGAGUUACAGGACUAUCAGAGUCACUGUUGACAUCUUCUAAGGCAAUUUUGAAAAAGCCUUUCCCAAUAAGAGUGAGCUUCCACUUACCCAAAGGCUUCCAAAGCUUUUCAAAAGCUUGGUGAAUAGAUCCGCGCUUCGCAGGGGAGAGGCUCCCUGCCAUGGGGGUUUCGG